UACAGAGGUCCCAAGCGUUGUUCGGAUUCACUGGGUUUAAAGGGUGCGUAGGCGGGUUGGUAAGUCCGUGGUGAAAUCCCCAAGCUUAACUUGGGAACUGCCGUGGAUACUAUCAAUCUUGAAUAUCGUGGAGGUAAGCGGAAUAAGUCAUGUAGCGGUGAAAUGCUUAGAUAUGACAUAGAACACCAAUUGCGUAGGCAGCUUACUACACGAUCAUUGACGCUGAGGCACGAAAGCGUGGGGAGCAAACAGG
Molecule: ribosomal RNA, 253 nt
Filed under: uncultured bacterium
Lineage: Bacteria
Description: partial 16S ribosomal RNA
Rfam family: Bacterial small subunit ribosomal RNA
Source: RNAcentral